Molecule: ribosomal RNA, 468 nt
Filed under: uncultured bacterium
Lineage: Bacteria
Description: partial 16S ribosomal RNA
Rfam family: Bacterial small subunit ribosomal RNA
Source: RNAcentral
GACGAACGCUGGCGGCGUGCUUAACACAUGCAAGUCGAACGGAAAGGCCCUGCUUUUGUGGGGUGCUCGAGUGGCGAACGGGUGAGUAACACGUGAGUAACCUGCCCUUGACUUUGGGAUAACUUCAGGAAACUGGGGCUAAUACCGGAUAGGAGCUCCUGCUGCAUGGUGGGGGUUGGAAAGUUUCGGCGGUUGGGGAUGGACUCGCGGCUUAUCAGCUUGUUGGUGGGGUAGUGGCUUACCAAGGCUUUGACGGGUGGCCGGCCUGAGAGGGUGACCGGCCACAUUGGGACUGAGAUACGGACCAGACUCCUACGGGAGGCAGCAGUGGGGAAUAUUGCACAAUGGGCGGAAGCCUGAUGCAGCAACGCCGCGUGCGGGAUGACGGCCUUCGGGUUGUAAACCGCUUUCGCCUGUGACGAAGCGUGAGUGACGGUAAUGGGUAAAGAAGCACCGGCUAACUACGUG